UUAAAUUGAAGAGUUUGAUCAUGGCUCAGAUUGAACGCUGGCGGCAGGCCUAACACAUGCAAGUCGAACGGUAACAGGAAGCAGCUUGCUGCUUUGCUGACGAGUGGCGGACGGGUGAGUAAUGUCUGGGAAACUGCCUGAUGGAGGGGGAUAACUACUGGAAACGGUGGCUAAUACCGCAUAACGUCGCAAGACCAAAGAGGGGGACCUUCGGGCCUCUUGCCAUCAGAUGUGCCCAGAUGGGAUUAGCUUGUUGGUGAGGUAACGGCUCACCAAGGCGACGAUCCCUAGCUGGUCUGAGAGGAUGACCAGCCACACUGGAACUGAGACACGGCCCAGACUCCUACGGGAGGCAGCAGUGGGGAAUAUUGCACAAUGGGCGCAAGCCUGAUGCAGCCAUGCCGCGUGUAUGAAGAAGGCCUUCGGGUUGUAAAGUACUUUCAGCGGGGAGGAAGGUGUUGUGGUUAAUAACCGCAGCAAUUGACGUUACCCGCAGAAGAAGCACCGGCUAACUCCGUGCCAGCAGCCGCGGUAAUACGGAGGGUGCAAGCGUUAAUCGGAAUUACUGGGCGUAAAGCGCACGCAGGCGGUCUGUCAAGUCGGAUGUGAAAUCCCCGGGCUCAACCUGGGAACUGCAUUCGAAACUGGCAGGCUUGAGUCUUGUAGAGGGGGGUAGAAUUCCAGGUGUAGCGGUGAAAUGCGUAGAGAUCUGGAGGAAUACCGGUGGCGAAGGCGGCCCCCUGGACAAAGACUGACGCUCAGGUGCGAAAGCGUGGGGAGCAAACAGGAUUAGAUACCCUGGUAGUCCACGCCGUAAACGAUGUCUACUUGGAGGUUGUGCCCUUGAGGCGUGGCUUCCGGAGCUAACGCGUUAAGUAGACCGCCUGGGGAGUACGGCCGCAAGGUUAAAACUCAAAUGAAUUGACGGGGGCCCGCACAAGCGGUGGAGCAUGUGGUUUAAUUCGAUGCAACGCGAAGAACCUUACCUGGUCUUGACAUCCACAGAAGAAUCCAGAGAUGGAUUUGUGCCUUCGGGAACUGUGAGACAGGUGCUGCAUGGCUGUCGUCAGCUCGUGUUGUGAAAUGUUGGGUUAAGUCCCGCAACGAGCGCAACCCUUAUCCUUUGUUGCCAGCGGUUAGGCCGGGAACUCAAAGGAGACUGCCAGUGAUAAACUGGAGGAAGGUGGGGAUGACGUCAAGUCAUCAUGGCCCUUACGACCAGGGCUACACACGUGCUACAAUGGCGCAUACAAAGAGAAGCGACCUCGCGAGAGCAAGCGGACCUCAUAAAGUGCGUCGUAGUCCGGAUUGGAGUCUGCAACUCGACUCCAUGAAGUCGGAAUCGCUAGUAAUCGUGGAUCAGAAUGCCACGGUGAAUACGUUCCCGGGCCUUGUACACACCGCCCGUCACACCAUGGGAGUGGGUUGCAAAAGAAGUAGGUAGCUUAACCUUCGGGAGGGCGCUUACCACUUUGUGAUUCAUGACUGGGGUGAAGUCGUAACAAGGUAACCGUAGGGGAACCUGCGGUUGGAUCACCUCCUUA
Molecule: ribosomal RNA, 1544 nt
Filed under: Salmonella enterica subsp. enterica serovar Enteritidis str. P125109
Lineage: Bacteria; Pseudomonadati; Pseudomonadota; Gammaproteobacteria; Enterobacterales; Enterobacteriaceae
Description: 16S ribosomal RNA
Rfam family: Bacterial small subunit ribosomal RNA
Source: RNAcentral